CAGUAGCCGCGGUAAUACGUAGGGUGCAAGCGUUAAUCGGAAUUACUGGGCGUAAAGCGUGCGCAGGCGGUUAUAUAAGUCAGAUGUGAAAUCCCCGGGCUCAACCUGGGAACUGCAUUUGAAACUGUAUGGCUAGAGUGUGUCAGAGGGGGAUGGAAUUCCGCGUGUAGCAGUGAAAUGCGUAGAUAUGCGGAGGAACACCGAUGGCGAAGGCAAUCCCCUGGACCUGUACUGACGCUCAUGCACGAAAGCGUGGGGAGCAAACAGGAUUAGAUACCCCCGUAGUCCCUGUCUCUUAUAA
This 301-nucleotide ribosomal RNA is filed under the name uncultured bacterium. RNAcentral's name for it is "partial 16S ribosomal RNA". It matches the Rfam family "Bacterial small subunit ribosomal RNA", at positions 509 to 809 of the family's 1533-position model. The record is from RNAcentral.